RNAcentral lists this ribosomal RNA (449 nucleotides) under uncultured bacterium. RNAcentral describes it as "partial 16S ribosomal RNA". It matches the Rfam family "Bacterial small subunit ribosomal RNA", at positions 29 to 523 of the family's 1533-position model. The record is from RNAcentral.
AACGAACGCUGGCGGCAUGCCUAACACAUGCAAGUCGAACGAGACCUUCGGGUCUAGUGGCGCACGGGUGCGUAACGCGUGGGAAUCUGCCCUUGGGUUCGGAAUAACAGCGAGAAAUUGCUGCUAAUACCGGAUGAAGUCUUCGGACCAAAGAUUUAUCGCCCAGGGAUGAGCCCGCGUAGGAUUAGGUAGUUGGUGGGGUAAUGGCUCACCAAGCCGACGAUCCUUAGCUGGUCUGAGAGGAUGAUCAGCCACACUGGGACUGAGACACGGCCCAGACUCCUACGGGAGGAAGCAGUGGGGAAUAUUGGACAAUGGGCGAAAGCCUGAUCCAGCAAUGCCGCGUGAGUGAUGAAGGCCUUAGGGUUGUAAAGCUCUUUUACCAGGGAUGAUAAUGACAGUACCUGGAGAAUAAGCUCCGGCUAACUCCGUGCCAGCAGCCGCCGUAA